RNAcentral lists this long non-coding RNA (865 nucleotides) under Capra hircus (goat). RNAcentral's name for it is "lncRNA (ENSCHIG00000005064.1)". Lineage: Eukaryota; Metazoa; Chordata; Mammalia; Artiodactyla; Bovidae. The record is from RNAcentral.
CUUUCUGUAUUAGCCUGAAUUCUACGCAAUACUGGCUCAGGGCUCUUGCUAGGGCUGACAGUGAUUCAGCCUGACAUUACUGCUGGAGGAAGAGGGGAGUCCCGGAGCUGGCGCCCAGGGGGCCCAAGGACCCUGUCCCAGGGUACAAUAAUCCACUCAGGGACACUUCUCAAAUUCCUCCUUGCUGGACACUGCUGCCACCUGUAACCACACCGCGUGACUCAAGGCUAGACUUGUGAUUCAUUUAAACCUGACACUGCCAGAAGAAGAGGGCCUGCUGUUCCUCCACAGGAGCCCCCUGGGGUCCCAUGGCAACCUGAAGCCUUUCGACUGCCUGGUGGACGGCCGGAUGCAGGUGAAGCUAUUGGGAUUUGGGUUGUGGGAACUCCAGCAUGGCCGGACAUACAGAACAUACAAUGAGGAAACGACGGACCCAUCAGAGUUCUUACUGGACAGCCCCAAAACUACUGUGGCUCCCCCGGUCUGGCACCUCGAAGGGAGAUGUUUACAGCAUUGCCAUCCUAAUGAGAGAGCUGAUCCACCACCAGGACCCUGGACCUUUUGAUGAUCAAAACCUGACACCAGCAGUGCUGUGCUCAGCCAUGUCUGACUCUUUGCAACCCCAUGGACUAUACCCCGCCAUGCUCCUCUGUCCACGAGAUUCUCCAGGCAAAAAUACUGGAGUGAGUAGCCAUUUCCUUCUCCAGGAGACCUUCUUCCUGAUCCUGGGAUUGAACCUGUGUCUCUUGCAUCUCCUGCAUGGACAGGUGGAUUCUUCACCACUAGCACCACCUGAAGGGCCCUUAUCUUUUCCCCUUUUUGUUUACUGCCUUCCCCACCAUUUCUAGUCCAUCCCUGACGGCCC